AUGACUGGAGUGUGUUUGAAUUUUGCAUUCCAAGGCUUUAAUUAAGAUGCAUUUACCACUGUCAAUAGUUGUGGGUUUUCUCCUUUAAAACUUUUUAACAUUUUCAGGGCUUUCAUCAGAUCUCUAGGGCAGCUAAUUUCAUUGGUGUUGCUUCAGUGAAGAGUUUGACCAAGAUACUCCAUACUGGAGAGCUGCACUUUGCAAGGGCAAAAUAUGCUGAUGUCCAGAGAAAGGAUAAUUCAAGGAAGAGGCACCAGGAUAAGGAAUGCAGUUGAGGGCUCAGCUGCUCCUCUACCUUCCUACAGCAGGAACACCUCCCCAGCCCAGCUUUUGAAAGUGGAAAACCACCCUGACAGCCGCAGGAUACUUGACACCCUUCCGAGCAGGGGUGUGGCUGAGCAAGUCUGGUGGUGAGCACGAGGGGAAGGAGCAUUGGGUCAGUGCUCGUGUCCACAUUUGGGAAUAUGUGUCUGUGUUUUCAGUGACAAGAGGAUACACGGGAGAAAUUGGUAACUUGACCUCCAAGCAGAGAAUUUGUCUACUUGCCUUUCCUGCCAGGUGCUCUGUAGCUCACCCACACUCCCCUGUGCCUCCACUGCAUAAAGAACUGGGACUUUCCAAGGGGAUUGAGGCUCAUGCUGUUGCAGCUGAUUUUUUUGUUUUCUUACCUGCAAUAACUUCUGAAUUUCUAUCAAUAUUAAAGCAGUCUGGGAGGCUUGAGGAUAAUCUGGUUACCAUACAUUUCUGGAGGAGAGAUGUGAAGAAGAAAUAACUUGGCUGAGGCAGAGCCAUUAGAAUCCCUGUCCUUCUGCUCCUGCUGAAAGGCUGAGGAGGUUUUUGAUCACAGGCACGAAGUGAAAGCUUCAAAGCCCUUGUCUGCAGACAAAAGGGACUUCUCAAAACCAGCUGCACCUGAGAGAGCAUUUAUGAACAUCCCCUGCUUUGUCAGUGCCUCUGAAGAAAUCCAGGCAGCCCAGCAUCAUCAUGUGAGCACAAUAAAUGAGCCAGAGGAGAGGGGAAUUGCAACCUUGUGUGUCCUGUGCAUUCCUCUUGAGGAAUAAAAGUGGCCAGGAGACCUUGGACAGGACCUUGGAGCAGUCAGAGAUUGGCACAGAAGAAAGCUGAAUGAAUGGAGGCAAAGGACAAUUGGCUCCUUUCUACACACCUUCCAGAAAGAGGCAGGGGGAGGCUGUGUAGUUCUGGGUCCAGUUCUCUGCCAAGGGACCUGUUGAGUA
Long non-coding RNA from Passer domesticus (house sparrow), 1235 nucleotides. RefSeq lists it as uncharacterized. The record is from RefSeq and is a predicted model, not a curated record. NCBI's taxonomy places the organism in Eukaryota, Metazoa, Chordata, Aves, Passeriformes, Passeridae. The transcript has 4 exons.